Siniperca chuatsi (mandarin fish) is the source of this 391-nucleotide long non-coding RNA. RefSeq lists it as uncharacterized. The record is from RefSeq and is a predicted model, not a curated record. NCBI's taxonomy places the organism in Eukaryota, Metazoa, Chordata, Actinopteri, Centrarchiformes, Sinipercidae. The transcript is spliced from 3 exons.
GAAGCAGUCGCUGAAGAGCUCUGGAUAGACCAUGCAAGGUUCUGCAGGUGUCCCACCCUUCUCUCAUCACGAGGAUGCUUUAGAAGUGUACCAUGAAGAGAGAAAGAAACAAUGGGAGGGAGCAGGGGGUGGAAGAAGACAUGCGACAAAGAUCCCAGGUCGGACUCCAAACCAGGAUGUUGUAGUUACAUGUGUUUGUUGGGGUCAAAGGUUGGUGAGUGGUGACCUAAGUGAGAGGCCUGGGUGACAUCUGACCUCUAACUGGGUGUGUGGCUGACCCUGGAGGAUACAGCACAACAAUGGGAGGCACGUGCCUUGGCCUUUUCACCAUGGUAACGCAGGACCUUUUGGAACGGGGGGGUCAAAGCUUGGUCUUUAUCCUGAUCAGUGU